AGUUGUAAAAUCCGUCGCGAGAUAAUGCGAGACUAGACUUGCGGUUGCCGGCUUGGCUGAAAUGGACGACAGACGGGACGGCCUGGCGAUUUAUAUUUUCUCUUCAUCUCUACUCUGACCUGGACCAAUUCCUGGACCAUUUAUAGGCUACAUAUUCUGCAGUACGCCGAAGCAGAGGAAAUGGCAGCGGGUAGGAUUGAGAGUCGCAGCAUGCAAUACUGGGGAACCAGAAGGAGUCCCAAUGGAACCGCUUCACAUGCUGAUGUACAAGGAACUUAAGCUGGGCUUCUAGUAGUUUUCUUUGCUCCAGGCCAUGGAGGAGUA
Long non-coding RNA from Branchiostoma belcheri (Belcher's lancelet), 324 nucleotides. RefSeq lists it as uncharacterized. The transcript is spliced from 3 exons. NCBI's taxonomy places the organism in Eukaryota, Metazoa, Chordata, Leptocardii, Amphioxiformes, Branchiostomatidae. The record is from RefSeq and is a predicted model, not a curated record.